Molecule: small RNA, 537 nt
Filed under: Pongo abelii (Sumatran orangutan)
Lineage: Eukaryota; Metazoa; Chordata; Mammalia; Primates; Hominidae
Description: retained intron
Source: RNAcentral
GUUGCUGGCUUUUUCAGGAGCUGCUCGCUCGCAGCCAGACGCUGCUUUUUUUUUUCCGGGUUCGGAGCCGUUCCGGAUGCUUUAGGCUGCCGGAUGUCUGAUCUCCGGAUAACUGAGGCGUUUCUGUACAUGGAUUAUCUGUGUUUUAGAGCACUUUGCUGCAAGGGACCACCACCUGCACGACCAGAAUAUGACCUGGUUUGCAUAGGCCUCACAGGCUCUGGCAAAACCAGUCUGUUGUCCAAACUCUGCAGUGAAAGCCCCGAUAACGUCGUGUCGACCACAGGUUUUAGUAUUAAAGCAGUGCCAUUCCAGAAUGCCAUCUUGAAUGUAAAAGAACUUGGAGGUAUAACAUUUCAAAUCAUUUCUAUGUCUGCCCUUAACUUUUAUUAAUUUGGUAAUAAUGUAUUAUAUGUAAUUCAAACAUAGUGAUAACUUAUUUUAGUAGGUGAUUUAUUUUUAUCUUGAUAAUAUAUUUCCUAGAAAUAUUUCCUUCCCUUCGUAUAUGUUUUAAAAAUUGUUGAAGAGUUCUAAGUA